UGACGGUACCUGUAGAAGAAGCCCCGGCUAACUUCGUGCCAGCAGCCGCGGUAAUACGAAGGGGGCUAGCGUUGCUCGGAAUUACUGGGCGUAAAGGGCGCGUAAGCGGCUUAGUCAGUCAGGCGUGAAAUUCCUGGGCUUAACCUGGGGUCUGCGUUUGA
Molecule: ribosomal RNA, 161 nt
Filed under: uncultured bacterium
Lineage: Bacteria
Description: partial 16S ribosomal RNA
Rfam family: Bacterial small subunit ribosomal RNA
Source: RNAcentral